AGUUGCUUGUCCUGGGGACAGUUUGUCUUGAAAACAAAUCAGAAGUGUUCGAAUCGCUUAGCGACUU
This 67-nucleotide transfer RNA is filed under the name Batillaria attramentaria. RNAcentral describes it as "tRNA-Ser". Lineage: Eukaryota; Metazoa; Mollusca; Gastropoda; Batillariidae. The record is from RNAcentral.